UUGCUAGGGCAGCCUUCUUCAAAUCUGGCCUGUAGUAGUUAUCUGCCACCUGGUUUGUUACAGCUUUUGCCAUCCUACGGAACUCUUUCUUCAUUAAAGAUUUAUGAAGCAAUGACGCAGGUUUGUUCUGUUUCUUGCUCUUAGUUGUUGCAAGCAAAAUGGAUUGAUCUUUUCCUCCAGGUUGGAUUGUAACAGUUUUCUUGUUGGCCAAACCAGAGUGCUUGUAGGAGUUCAGAUUGUAUAAAUUGUUGGGCUCUUUGCUGAACUGAACGCCGGCUGUUCCCCUUCCAAACUCCUUCACCAAAAAAGAGUUGUUCCUCUUAACAAUCUCCCAGAUCAGUUGUCCUGGAACCGCCGCCAUCUUAUUCUUCUGACCCUGAUUUGCGUUAGGGUUUUG
Molecule: unclassified non-coding RNA, 397 nt
Filed under: Hevea brasiliensis (rubber tree)
Lineage: Eukaryota; Viridiplantae; Streptophyta; Magnoliopsida; Malpighiales; Euphorbiaceae
Source: RNAcentral